Vigna angularis (adzuki bean) is the source of this 91-nucleotide non-coding RNA. The record is from Rfam. NCBI's taxonomy places the organism in Eukaryota, Viridiplantae, Streptophyta, Magnoliopsida, Fabales, Fabaceae.
UCAGCAGUGAUGAGCCUCUAAUAUGUAAGAAGAAAUUCCUAAUUGGUGUUCUUCAAUGAAAUUAAGUUGUUACGCUUGGCUUCUGAGCUUU